Molecule: long non-coding RNA, 620 nt
Filed under: Manihot esculenta (cassava)
Lineage: Eukaryota; Viridiplantae; Streptophyta; Magnoliopsida; Malpighiales; Euphorbiaceae
Description: long non-coding RNA (MESC_LNC009176)
Source: RNAcentral
AGAGGCUGAUUUCUCCACUGAUGACUUGAUUCUUAGUAAGAGUCUUGUUCUCCAGGCCUAGAUCUUUAGAUUUUGUCUCACUGUUUCUCUCUUCUUCUCUUUUUUUUUUUUUUCCCAUUUCCAUUCAAGUGUAGUAAUAAGUUAACAAAUACCAAACAAUCACCAAUUCAAUAGAAAUAUCUGGAAUUUUGCACAGGCUGUUGUAAAAAGAGUUUGCAUAUUUGAUCAAGUCUGGAAUUGUGCUCGAUUCAAUUUGAACCUUGCCUUGUCUAUGCAUUAAUAUCCCAGGAUCCACUUCUCAUGCAGAAUACCAAUAGUAGAGUUAUAAAACAUUUGAUCCUACCCCAAAUGUUGGAGUGAAAAUUUAUUUAAUGUAUAAUAUUGUGGAUGUAAAUCAAAGAAGGAGAUUUCAUAAGUAUAAGCCAUUUGUUUUGGCUAGCAGGUUUAUGAAUUUAUUGAAAAAAUGAUAUGAAUCAGAUUUAAAUGCAUUUAUUAGUGACUAAUCAGCCACAAAAACAAAUUCAAUAAUAAAUAUUUUUUUAAUUUUACUAUUAAUUUACGACGAAAUAGCGACUAAUUGCUCUUCUAUGAUGCGAUCAAAUAGCGACCAAAAUAGCGAC